GACGGAGGAUGCAAGCGUUAUCCGGAAUGAUUGGGCGUAAAGCGUCCGCAGGUGGCAGUUCAAGUCUGCUGUCAAAGACCGGGGCUUAACUUCGGAAAGGCAGUGGAAACUGAACAGCUAGAGUAUGGUAGGGGCAGAGGGAAUUCCUGGUGUAGCGGUGAAAUGCGUAGAGAUCAGGAAGAACAUCGGUGGGCGAAAGGCGCUCUGCUGGACCAUAACUGACACUCAGGGACGAAAGCUAGGGGAGCGAAUGGG
This 255-nucleotide ribosomal RNA is filed under the name uncultured bacterium. Its description in RNAcentral is "partial 16S ribosomal RNA". It matches the Rfam family "Bacterial small subunit ribosomal RNA", at positions 524 to 776 of the family's 1533-position model. The record is from RNAcentral.